GGGCCCGCACAAGCGGUGGAGCAUGUGGUUUAAUUCGAUGAUACGCGAGGAACCUUACCAGGGCUUAAAUGUAAGUUGCAUUAGUUAGAGAUAGCUAUUUUCUUCGGACCACUUACAAGGUGCUGCAUGGUUGUCGUCAGCUCGUGCCGUGAGGUGUCAGGUUAAGUCCUAUAACGAGCGCAACCCCCUGUCGUUAGUUACCAGCAAGUAAUGUUGGGUACUCUAGCGAGACUGCCGUGCAAACCGUGAGGAAGGUGGGGAUGACGUCAAAUCAUCACGGCCCUUACGUCCUGGGCUACACACGUGCUACAAUGGCCGGUACAGAGAGCAGCCACUACGCGAGUAGGAGCG
Molecule: ribosomal RNA, 351 nt
Filed under: uncultured bacterium
Lineage: Bacteria
Description: bacterial SSU rRNA
Rfam family: Bacterial small subunit ribosomal RNA
Source: RNAcentral